CAGUUCUUAACGGCCGCGCGUCCAGAGUCUGUUCCUUCUGAUGUUCGGAUGUGUUCGGAGUUUCUUCCUUCUGGUGGGUUCGUGGUCUCGCUGGCUCGGGAGUGAAGCUGCAGACGUUUGCGGAACUCGUGAGUUAUGACAAAAAGAUAUUAUGACUCCCAUGCAGCGGAUGAAGACAUUGAUGCCCAUGAAAGGAGAUUCACAAGCCUCCCUCCCAGAUUCAGGGAAGGAGAUGCAGCCCCCACCCCUUGACUGGAGGAGGACCAAGGUCACCUUGCAGAGCACCGUGAGAUGUGGAAGAUGCCAGAACUGUCUGUGGGAAAUGGGAUUUGUACUUGGCUUGUCUGCCUCUUGCAACCAGAGUCCUGGUUCUCAGGGCCUCACCUGUGCAUCUCUUGUUGAGCACAGAGGAGGCACUCGGCAUAAAUGAAGAGGAUGCUUGCUGAGCUGGCUGGCCCAUCCUCUCUUCUUUCCCUUGUUUUUCUAUUUUAUCUUUCAAAGCAGUGUUUCAAGUGUUUAUAAACUAAUCUAUGUAUAAAAUAUUAUGUGGCAUAAGAUUUGCAAAAUAUUAAAGAUUUAAAGAAUCAAAUAAAAUAUUUGUAUGAUACCACA
Molecule: long non-coding RNA, 612 nt
Filed under: Homo sapiens (human)
Lineage: Eukaryota; Metazoa; Chordata; Mammalia; Primates; Hominidae
Description: non-protein coding lnc-CSMD1-1:9
Source: RNAcentral